CAGCUCCAAUAGCGUAUAUUAAAAUUGUUGCAGUUAAAAAGCUCGUAGUUGAAUUUCUGCUGCAUUGCUUGUGUCCCUCUGGGGUCUGUGCAUGUGGCUUUUUUCGGACGGAGUUUCUUUGUCUGAAUGUUUACUUUGAGAAAAUUAGAGUGCUCAAAGCAGGCUUUCGCCUUGAAUAGUUUAGCAUGGAAUAAUAAAGUAGGACUUUGGUUCUAUUUUGUUGGUUUUAGGUACCAAAGUAAUGGUUAAUAGGAACAGUUGGGGGCAUUCGUAUUUAACUGUCAGAGGUGAAAUUCUUAGAUUUGUUAAAGACGAACUACUGCGAAAGCAUUUGCCAAGGAUGUUUUCAUUAAUCAAGAACGAAAGUUAGGGGAUCGAAGACGAU
Molecule: ribosomal RNA, 385 nt
Filed under: Theileria sp.
Lineage: Eukaryota; Apicomplexa; Aconoidasida; Piroplasmida; Theileriidae
Description: SSU rRNA
Rfam family: Eukaryotic small subunit ribosomal RNA
Source: RNAcentral